GUCGUUUUGGCAGCACAAAUACUAAAAUCAGAACGAUACAGAGAAGAUUAGCAUGGCUCCUGUGCAAGGAUGACACCCAAAUUCAGGAAACAUUUCAUAUUUAU
Molossus molossus (Pallas's mastiff bat) is the source of this 104-nucleotide small nuclear RNA. The record is from RefSeq and is a predicted model, not a curated record. NCBI's taxonomy places the organism in Eukaryota, Metazoa, Chordata, Mammalia, Chiroptera, Molossidae.